CCCGGCUAUACCUCGGUCCACACACUUCAGCAGUGCGUGCAUCACAGUGACCCCUUCUGGCAGAAUUUUCUAAUUAGAAGGUUGUCCACAUCCUGAUUGAACUGUGCUGUCCAGAACUGAACACAGUACUCCAGCUGCGGUCUGACCAGUGCUGCCUAGAGGGGGAGAAUCACUUCCCUGGACCUGUUUGUGAAGCACCUAUGGAUGCAUGACAAGGCAUGAUUGGCUCUGCUGACUGCUUCAUCACAUUGGCGACUCACGUUCAAGCCUGUAGGCCUCCGAGUCCAAAGGAAGCAGAAGACACCCAGGCCCUCCGAGGAUCCGGGCUUUGAAACCAAAAGCAUCAGGAUGUGAGGAAGCCAAGCCCUAGACUGAGCUUUAGCCGAUGCAGCUGGGGAGCAGACACUAAAGGACUGUAGCGAUGUCGUUUUCAUUAGUCCGUGAAGAACAACUUCAAAAACAAGGUUUAGAUUUGCUAUUGGCUAUUUAAUAGGGGAUUAGUCAAAGGGAAUAAACUGGCAGCAGGUUUAGAUGGAUGUGACUAUAGGGACAAGGGCUUAACAUGAUGUGCUUCAAAAUGACACUUGCCUGUUGCCAGGCAGAUGCAGCUUGUCCUACCUGUUGCCCCAUGCUGUGAUACAAAAGGUGGUGGGCACUCUGGAAAACCUGAAGAUAGAAAAAAAAAAAAUACCCUUGCAAGCUGGCAGCAAUUCAGAUCACUCCACAAGGAGAGCUGAACAGGACGGAUGGCGUGUCUGAAGCCAUCCCUCCCUCUCUGGGCCCAGGGAGAUGGGAUUUUUCUUGUAAGCAAUGCAGUCAGAGAGCAAAUCAGAGCUUCUGAGCAGCAGGAGCUCUGUUCUCUUUCCCUUGGGCUCCACUUGUGAAAAUCAUCAAAUACUAACAUGCUAACUGCAGCAGUUUCUAAUUUUUCCUUCCAGUGUACAUGGAAUCAUAGAAAUCAGAGACAUAUGAGGCUGGUUAGGUCACCUUUUCUUUUUCAGGCAGGCUUGUUCCUUAUGUUUCACUUAGUCCUGAUGCUUUAGCCACUCUUGCUUUAGAGUCUCAAAAGCUCAGAGGAUGCAUGCAAGCUUUGACGGCUCAACCUUACCUGCUCUUUGGCCCCUAAUUGGGCAGGGGUGGGGGGAUGAGACAGUCUUCCACACUCCUGAUUAGUUUAAGAGCUGGCUGGGACCCCAGUCUCUGACUUGUUGCCAGCACCCUCUUCAUUACACAGGACAAAUGCCACUAAGAGAAAGGGUUCAACCCUAAUGAAGAGAGUUGAUUUGCUACAGGUUAACUGGUUAGUUCAGGGUCAAUCAGGUGGAUCAGCUGUCCUUGAUAAGAGGCCCGCAGGUAGGGCUGGAAAACAUUAUAAGGAGUAGGCUGGAGUCAGCAUAGCUGGUUGGUGGUGAGACUGGGAGACAGGCCUGAGGGCCUAUAGGAGUCUAGGAGUAUAGCUUGCUAGGGAAUCAAAAUCAAGUUACAAGCUAGCUUGAAACCAGCCUGACUGCGUAGCUUAGAGAAAGGCAAAGGGAGCAUCCGCUAUAUAAAUACAGGGGAGAAUGCAGGCUUAUUUGGCAAAUGACAGCCAGAAUGGCUUUCAGGAGUAUGCAUUAGCUAGGAAGUGAUUUAGAGUGUGCACGUGAGAGAGGAAUAAGAUGAAUAAUUUGGAGCAGCAUUGCAGAGUUUACAACAGUCACUUUAUUCUUGCAUUAUUACCGUUAACUGCCACAAAACAACUGCUGUGUAUGUUCACUGGUUUAAAGGGCCAGGGGAUGUCAAAUUUUCCCCUGAUUCUGAGCUUUGCUCUGCACAAAGUGCAAGGAGGGGGCUAUUAUGGAGCCAGGUCCCCCAUUCUGUGGGCUGGCCUCAUUAUCUAUUAGAGCUGCCUAGGGACAGCUAAAUGUGAUCUUAAAGCGAUCCAAGCAUUGCACCAUAGAGCUGAGUGCUUGCCCCUCCUUGCUACUGAGAGAGGUGGUUGGGUGGUAUUAGCACAGCCAGGCUUUACCCCAGAGGGAGUUUCCUCUUUGUCCUUAAUCAGGUAUAGCCCAAUACCAGCCCAUUGAUGCUGCAGAGCCAUGCCCAUAAUGUAGCUCACACUUCUGACAUGGUGAGACUACUCUCAGCAGGCAGGUUAGCUAGUUUAAAGCCAUUUCAUAUACAUGCACAUGAGCUCCUGUGGCACCCUUUGUGUACUGUGCAGUGUAAAUGCCCAGUCCUCUCAUCUUCUUACUUUUUUUUGAAGACCUCAUCUCCUUCCAUUCUUUUAGAAAUAAUGGGAGGGCUCUUCCACUUGACUGGCCUGUCUACCUAGAAAUGCAUCGGUCACAACAAUAAUUUCUUUCACACAAGUAUGAUAGCAGAAGUUCAGUUCAUGGUACAACUGUCCACCACAUCUUGGCCUAGGUUUCCAUUUAAAGUAACGCCUAGGUUUGUUUCUUUUUGUGGCGCCUGGAAAUUGGAGUGGUUUCAUGAAUCAGAAAGACAGUGAAGGCUUGAACAACUUGAAAACUGGGGAAGUUGCUGCCCUUUGCCUGCUGCUACAAGGUUCUUAUGGUCCUCUGGCCUGACAUUAAAACAUGCCAACUCUUACAUUUGUAACCAUUGUGUAAAAAGCUGUUAUUGCCCUUAAAACUAGUCAUUGGAGUUGAAAGAUAAAUAUUAUUCUGUAUCUUAUUGAAUAAAAUAUAUUAUAUCACAGGUGAUGGAGACAGAUUGACUCAAUAAAUUCUGAUACUGUAUUCUGAGGAAAAGUGGCAAUAAAAAUGCUGAUGACUCGACACAGGGAGAAUAUUGAAUGUCAUUAACAUGUUAUUUCCUCUGUUCUGAUAUCACUGUCAUGUUCUUCCUACUGUUCUAAUCUCUAUCAGUUGCCUUAUUUUUUUUCCGUUUUGCUUGUCUGAAUGAGAAAAAUGGCAUUU
Alligator mississippiensis (American alligator) is the source of this 2921-nucleotide long non-coding RNA. RefSeq lists it as uncharacterized. Lineage: Eukaryota; Metazoa; Chordata; Crocodylia; Alligatoridae. The record is from RefSeq and is a predicted model, not a curated record. The transcript has 3 exons.